RNAcentral lists this ribosomal RNA (440 nucleotides) under uncultured bacterium. RNAcentral's name for it is "partial 16S ribosomal RNA". It matches the Rfam family "Bacterial small subunit ribosomal RNA", at positions 338 to 795 of the family's 1533-position model. The record is from RNAcentral.
CCUACGGGUGGCAGCAGUGGGGAAUAUUGCACAAUGGGGGAAACCCUGAUGCAGCGACGCCGCGUGAGUGAAGAAGUAUUUCGGUAUGGUAAGCUCCUUCAGCAGGGAAGAAAAUGACGGUACCUGAUUAAGAAGCCCCGGCUAACUACGUGCCAGCAGCCGCGGUAAUACGCAGGGGGCAAGCGUUAUCCGGAUUUAAUGGGUGUAAAGGGAGCGUAGUGGGUGGUGCAAGUCAGAAGUGAAAGCCCGGGGCUCAACGCCGGGACUGCUUUUGAAACUGUGUAACUGGAGUGCAGGAGAGGUAAGCGGAAUGCAUGGUGUAGCGGUGAAAUGCGUAGAGAUCAGGAGGAACACCAGUGGCGAAGGCGGCUUACCGGACUGUAACUGACGUUGAGGCUCGAAAGCGUGGGGAGCAAACAGGAUUAGAUACCCGUGUAGUC